Erigeron canadensis is the source of this 910-nucleotide long non-coding RNA. RefSeq lists it as uncharacterized. The record is from RefSeq and is a predicted model, not a curated record. The transcript has 2 exons. Lineage: Eukaryota; Viridiplantae; Streptophyta; Magnoliopsida; Asterales; Asteraceae.
UUUGCCGUGGCUCUCAGGAAUAGUGGCAAGCCUACCUGCAUUCUAUUUUUUUUUCCUUUUUAAGUAUUUUGAUUGACAGGUUGCGCGUAUCUAAAUUUACGCAUGCAUACUUUAUUUUAUUUUUUUUCUUAGUCUUUUUUGUUACAUUUUUACUUAACGUUAAUCUUUCAUUUUUCCUUUUUAUUCAUUAGGUAAGAAUUCCCCCAUUACCCUUUUUCUGAAGUAUAUAUUAUUAAGCAUCCUAUCUGCGUGCUUCCUCUUCUUAAAAAGUUAUGUUUUUUUAUUAUCUUCUGACAGAUCUCCGGCCAAGUUUACCGAUGAAAUAGCGAGAAAUGUUGAAAACUGAAAAGGGGAUGUUUCAUAAUGCGAUGUAUCACUCGCCAUCGCUUCUCGUCUCGCUUUUGAUUCCUCCGAUCGAUCUAACUUUUGUUGGUGGUUGCUGUCACUAGAUGAAAACUCGAUAGAUAGAUGUGGGAAAGAAGAUGGUGUUGGUGUCGGUACGGGUGAGGGUGAUCAUGUACUGAUGCCUGAUGGUGUCCUAGUAAGUGGUUUGUAGAAACAAGAUUUGUGGGUUUAAUUUCUUAUCCAAAUCAAAUGUUUAUGGAUUUGUGAUUGUAAUCCGGAUAAAUGAAGAUCCAGAAAUUAAUGGGGUUUUAUAUAUGUAGCUGAAGAGAGAGCGAGCGAGAUGGUGAGGAGGCCGCAGAUUUAGGCCGGUGGGAAUAAAGGGCUGCUGUCGGAAUGUUUCUGCUGCUGCCGGAAUAUGAUGUUACUCCGGUAAAUGGUUUCAAAUGUGUAACCCAAUCACAUGGGUUUAAAUGUGUGUCUGUAUAUUUCUUCAGUUGGGAAUUUUGAUUAGUAGUGGUAGCGAUGAUUUAAAUUAACCCAUCUAAGAUCUGGCUUUGCUUUUUCA